AGUGAACGCUGGCGUUAGGCCUAACACAUGCAAGUCGAACGGCAGCACAGUAAGAGCUUGCUCUUACGGGUGGCGAGUGGCGGACGGGUGAGGAAUACAUCGGAAUCUACUUUUUCGUGGGGGAUAACGUAGGGAAACUUACGCUAAUACCGCAUACGACCUACGGGUGAAAGCAGGGGAUCUUCGGACCUUGCGCGAUUGAAUGAGCCGAUGUCGGAUUAGCUAGUUGGCGGGGUAAAGGCCCACCAAGGCGACGAUCCGUAGCUGGUCUGAGAGGAUGAUCAGCCACACUGGAACUGAGACACGGUCCAGACUCCUACGGGAGGCAGCAGUGGGGAAUAUUGGACAAUGGGCGCAAGCCUGAUCCAGCCAUACCGCGUGGGUGAAGAAGGCCUUCGGGUUGUAAAGCCCUUUUGUUGGGAAAGAAAAGCAGCAGGUUAAUACCCCGCUGUUCCGACGGUACCCAAAGAAUAAGCACCGGCUAACUUCGU
RNAcentral lists this ribosomal RNA (491 nucleotides) under uncultured bacterium. RNAcentral's name for it is "partial 16S ribosomal RNA". It matches the Rfam family "Bacterial small subunit ribosomal RNA", at positions 29 to 506 of the family's 1533-position model. The record is from RNAcentral.